RNAcentral lists this unclassified non-coding RNA (299 nucleotides) under uncultured Agaricales. Its description in RNAcentral is "sequence contains ITS2". The stretch from base 1 to 52 matches the Rfam family "5.8S ribosomal RNA", at positions 103 to 154 of the family's 154-position model. Lineage: Eukaryota; Fungi; Basidiomycota; Agaricomycetes; Agaricales. The record is from RNAcentral.
AACGCACCUUGCGCUCGUUGGUAUUCCGACGAGCAUGCCUGUUUGAGUGUCAUUAAAUUCUCAACCUCAUCGCUUUUGUGAUGAUGGCUUGGAAGUGGAGGUUUUUUGCAGGCUGAAAAGUCUGCUCCUCUCAAAUGAAUUAGUGGGUGCCCCGCGCAAACCUAUCUAUUGGUGUGAUAAUUAUCUACGCCGUGGAUCCUUAGGAUUGCUGUAAAAAGGUGUUUGCCCUGCUUCUAACCGUCUUCGGACAACUUGAACCAUUUGACCUCAAACCAGGUAGGACUACCCGCUGAACUUAA